AGGGGCUACAAAAAGCCUGGCACGUUUAAGUACAACUAAAUGAUAGUGAAACUGCAAACAGCUCAUUACAACGGUUAUGAGUACCCGGGAGUUCCGAUGGAUAUUUCCAGUAACACUAGAACUAAUACACGUCCCUGCGUUUAUUAGCUUCGCACAGUCCGUCGCUGAGUCAUGGUAAACAGUUGAUCGACUCGACGUCCCGGAACAGUUUCCGCCCCAUCAGCUUCGAUGGUUGGGUAUUGGCCUACCAUUGCAACAACGGGUAACGAGGAAUUAGGGUUUGAUUUCGGAGAGGGAGCCUGAGAAACGGCUACCACAUCUACGGAUGGCAGCAGGCGCGCAAAUUACCCAAUGCAGACACUGUGAGGUAGUGACGAGAAAUAAUAAAGCGGGACUUCUGUUUCGCUAUUAUAAUGAGGAAUAACCAAAGGUCAUUCCGAUUAGCAACUGAUGGGAAAGUCUGGUGCCAGCAGCCGCGGUAAUACCAGCGUCAGUAGCAU
This 500-nucleotide ribosomal RNA is filed under the name uncultured Myrionecta. RNAcentral describes it as "bacterial SSU rRNA". It matches the Rfam family "Eukaryotic small subunit ribosomal RNA", at positions 39 to 600 of the family's 1831-position model. Lineage: Eukaryota; Ciliophora; Litostomatea; Cyclotrichida; Mesodiniidae. The record is from RNAcentral.